AAAAAGAUAAGCUAACCAAGCUAAUAGGCUCAUACCCUUCUCAUGGAAGUAUAAAUCUUCCUCUUUUUA
This 69-nucleotide transfer RNA is filed under the name Ictinogomphus sp. MT-2014. RNAcentral's name for it is "tRNA-Met". Lineage: Eukaryota; Metazoa; Arthropoda; Insecta; Odonata; Gomphidae. The record is from RNAcentral.